This 397-nucleotide ribosomal RNA is filed under the name uncultured bacterium. RNAcentral describes it as "partial 16S ribosomal RNA". It matches the Rfam family "Bacterial small subunit ribosomal RNA", at positions 360 to 774 of the family's 1533-position model. The record is from RNAcentral.
AAUCUUGCGCAAUGGGCGAAAGCCUGACGCAGCCAUUCCGCGUGAAUGAUGAAGGUCUNUGGAUUNUNAAAUUCUUUCACCGGGGNCGAUAAUGACGUUACUCGGAGAAGAAGCCCCGGCUAACUUCGUGCCAGCAGCCGCGGUAAUACGAAGGGGGCUAGCGUUGCUCGGAAUUACUGGGCGUAAAGGGCGCGUAGGCGGACAUUUAAGUCAGGGGUGAAAUCCCAGAGCUCAACUCUGGAACUGCCUGUGAUACUAGGGGUCUUGAGUGUGAGAGAGGUAUGUGGAACUCCGAGUGUAGAGGUGAAAUUCGUAGAUAUUCGGAAGAACACAAGUGGCGAAGGCGACAUACUGGCUCAUUACUGACGCUGAGGAACGAAAGCGUGGGGAGCAAACA